Molecule: ribosomal RNA, 1350 nt
Filed under: metagenome
Description: bacterial LSU rRNA
Rfam family: Bacterial large subunit ribosomal RNA
Source: RNAcentral
UGAGUGCGAGCUGCUACGGCAGCGAAGUUGGUGAUGUCAUGCUUCCAAGAAAAGCCCUAUACCCGUUAAGGCAUCAUGGCCUGUACCCGAAACCGACACAGGUGGGGUGGUAGAGAAUACCGAGGGGCGCGAGGUAACUCUCUCUAAGGAACUCGGCAAAAUGGCCCCGUAACUUCGGGAGAAGGGGUGCCACCGCAAGGUGGUCGCAGUGAAGAGGCCCAGGCGACUGUUUACCAAAAACACAGGUCUCCGCUAAGUCGCAAGACGAUGUAUGGGGGCUGACGCCUGCCCAGUGCCGGAAGGUUAAGGAAGCUGGUCAGCGCAAGCGAAGCUAGCGACUGAAGCCCCGGUGAACGGCGGCCGUAACUAUAACGGUCCUAAGGUAGCGAAAUUCCUUGUCGGGUAAGUUCCGACCCGCACGAAAGGCGUAACGAUCUGGGCGCUGUCUCGGAGAGAGGCUCGGCGAAAUAGAAUUGUCUGUGAAGAUGCGGACUACGUGCACCCGGACAGAAAGACCCUAUGAAGCUUUACUGUAGCUUGGUAUUGUGCCCGGGCUCGCAAUGCGCAGGAUAGGUGGGAGGCUUUGAUCAUCGGCUUGCGGGUCGAUGUGAGCCAACGGUGAGAUACCACUCUUUGCGAGCUAGGGUUCUAACGGCCACCCGUCAUCCGGGGGCCGGACAGUACCUGGUGGGCAGUUUGACUGGGGCGGUCGCCUCCUAAAAGGUAACGGAGGCGCGCAAAGGUUUGCUCAGGCUGGUUGGAAAUCAGCCGACGAGUGUAAAAGCAGAAGCAAGCUUGACUGUGAGACCAACAAGUCGAACAGGGAGGAAACUCGGCUUUAGUGAUCCGACGGUUCUGAGUGGAAGGGCCGUCGCUCAACGGAUAAAAGUUACUCUAAGGAUAACAGGCUGAUCUCCCCCAAGAGUUCACAUCGACGGGGAGGUUUGGCACCUCGAUGUCGGCUCAUCGCAACCUGGGGCUGAAGUCGGUCCCAAGGGUUGGGCUGUUCGCCCAUUAAAGCGGUACGCGAGCUGGGUUCAGAGCGUCGUGAGACAGUUCGGUCCAUAUCCGGUGCACGCGCAGGAAUAUUGAGAGGAUUUCUCCCAAGUACGAGAGGACCGGGAGGAACGCACCUCUGGUGUACCAGUUAUCGUGCCAACGGUAAACGCUGGGUAGCCAUGUGCGGAGUGGAUAACCGCUGAAAGCAUCUAAGUGGGAAGCCCACCUCAAGAUGAGUAUUCCCAUGGCGUAAGCCAGUAAGGUCACGGGAAGAACACCCGUUGAUAGGCUCUAUGUGGAAGCGCAGUAAUGCGUGAAGCAGAGGAGUACUAAUAGACCGAGGGCUUGACC